RNAcentral lists this ribosomal RNA (864 nucleotides) under uncultured archaeon. RNAcentral's name for it is "SSU rRNA". It matches the Rfam family "Archaeal small subunit ribosomal RNA", at positions 474 to 1337 of the family's 1478-position model. The record is from RNAcentral.
AACCAGCACCUCAAGUGGUCAGGAUGAUUAUUGGGCCUAAAGCAUCCGUAGCCGGCUUUGUAAGUUUUCGGUUAAAUCCAUGCGCUCAACGUAUGGGCUGCCGGGAAUACUGCAAAGCUAGGGAGUGGGAGAGGUAGACGGUACUCGGUAGGAAGGGGUAAAAUCCUUUGAUCUAUUGAUGACCACCUGUGGCGAAGGCGGUCUACCAGAACACGUCCGACGGUGAGGGAUGAAAGCUGGGGGAGCAAACCGGAUUAGAUACCCGGGUAGUCCCAGCUGUAAACUAUGCAAACUCAGUGAUGCAUUGGCUUGAUGCCAAUGCAGUGCUGCAGGGAAGCCGUUAAGUUUGCCGCCUGGGAAGUACGUACGCAAGUAUGAAACUUAAAGGAAUUGGCGGGGGAGCACCACAAGGGGUGAAGCCUGCGGUUCAAUUGGAGUCAACGCCAGAAAUCUUACCCGGAGAGACAGCAGAAUGAAGGUCAAGCUGAAGACUUUACCAGACAAGCUGAGAGGUGGUGCAUGGCCGUCGCCAGCUCGUGCCGUGAGAUGUCCUGUUAAGUCAGGUAACGAGCGAGAUCCCUGCCUCUAGUUGCCACCACUACUCUCAGGAGUGGUGGGGCGAAUUAGCGGGACCGCCGUAGUUAAUACGGAGGAAGGAAGGGGCCACGGCAGGUCAGUAUGCCCCGAAACUCUGGGGCCACACGCGGGCUGCAAUGGUAACGACAAUGUGUUCCGAAUCCGAAAGGAGGAGGUAAUCCUCAAACGUUACCACAGUUAUGACUGAGGGCUGCAACUCGCCCUCACGAAUAUGGAAUCCCUAGUAACUGCGUGUCACUAUCGCGCGGUGAAUACGUCCCUGCUCCU